RNAcentral lists this transfer RNA (64 nucleotides) under Kirchnerius guangxii. RNAcentral's name for it is "tRNA-Pro". Lineage: Eukaryota; Metazoa; Arthropoda; Insecta; Coleoptera; Lucanidae. The record is from RNAcentral.
CAGGAAGUAGUUUAAAUAAAAUAUUAAUUUUGGAGAUUAAUGAAGAAGUAAUUAUCCUUCCUGA